GAGAAUUCUAUUUUCUUCUUCCUCUACCUCCCUACUUCUCUUUCUGUCCUGGCCCGAUCACAUCCUCUUUAAUCUUUCUAAAUGGAUAUUAUAGCCUCAGGGACUCCAAGAAGAUUCACGGAUAAACAGGAGCUAAGCCCCUGAAAUGCCAGGCUCCCUCCAAUGCCAUCUUCUCCACACAAAAGCCCUGGUUAGAAAUGCCAUCAAGAGAGCAGCCUCUGAGGGUUCUUUGUCAAACUCAAGAAGUGACUGAUGACUGAUGCACAUGGAAAGAGAAACGUCGACCCGAUGGGCUGCUCCAGAUUAAUGACCUAGAGGUGGCAAGGGACGUUUACACGGCCUCUGAUGCGCCCUUUGCUGUUGCCAUGCAACAAUAUGUCACCGGCUGA
This 389-nucleotide long non-coding RNA is filed under the name Mus spicilegus (steppe mouse). RNAcentral's name for it is "lncRNA (ENSMSIG00000006257.1)". The record is from RNAcentral. Lineage: Eukaryota; Metazoa; Chordata; Mammalia; Rodentia; Muridae.